CUCCUGUGAUGAUUUAGCCAUGCUAAUACUGAUGCAUCAGUCAACUCUGACUGGGUGCAAGUGAGUUCAACUCACCUUCUCACACUGGUGUGAUCAGUGUGUGCUGAGGAGA
Oryzias javanicus (javanese ricefish) is the source of this 112-nucleotide small nucleolar RNA. The record is from Ensembl. NCBI's taxonomy places the organism in Eukaryota, Metazoa, Chordata, Actinopteri, Beloniformes, Adrianichthyidae.